GCGGCCUCCUCCGGCGCUCAUUAUGACCUGCAAGGCGUCUGCGGCAGCUGCGUUUUCCUUGGUCAAAUUCAGGCAGCAGGUGGAACCUGUCAUAUUAUGUGAACAGAGAAUCAUGGAUAGAUUGAUUCUGAAUCCUAUCCACUGCUGCUGUGCAGUGACUGAGUUUUUGAAGCAACAGAAGGUACAUCAUCUAAAUUUGGCUGUUGACUCAGAAAGCAAAACGAGGCAUGGCGAGCAAAUUACUCCUACAUGAAUCAAGGUAAAACAAGCAAUGCACAAUGCAAGCAACUUUUAUAUGCUUAUUAUCCUAAUAGAUCUGCAUGAUGCAAGCCAAACAUAGCAAACCGUAGCUCAGGUCAAAAGGCAGCCCAUGCUAACUCAGAACAAGAUUUCUUGUCAUCCUAAAGAUGGUAUUACUACAAAUCCCAUCAAGAUAAAGCAGCAACUCUCCUAGUGCCUUUCAUAAUUACACCCAUAAAUAAAAAAUGCUAUUCCUAACACAACAAAAGGACACCAUGUGAAAGGAAGACUGUAAUCAUUCAUGGAGUUGUGAGAUGUCGGGCUUAAAAUAACAGUACACAAACACUAGAUGGUUAUCCAUCUAAUUGGACGGCAGGUGUCCUACACAUAAAAGCUAAUGGUCCAUCUGGCUUUUAUAAUGAUGCAUUAUGGCAUCAGAUAGUGACACACUUAGCACUGGCACAGCUCAAUUAUAAAAUCUUGACAUUUUUAUGAAUACUCAUUGUUAGUAAUUUGACCAUAAAGGAAAUGAUAGUAGCUUCAACGUAACCAAAAGUCUGAACCAAGUCUCUAACAACAAUUACUACCUCCGUCCUAAAUAAAGCUACAACAAUCAUAAAAUCUUGACAUUUUUAUGAAUUCUCAUUUGUAGUAAUUUGGCCCGUAAAGGAAAUGAUAGUAGCCUCAACAUAACCAAAAGUCUGAACCAAGUCUCUAACAACAGUUAUUACUUCCGUCCUAAAUAAAGCUAUUUCUAGCUAUGAAUUUGGACAGGUACAUUUUGGAACAGAUAUAUUAGUACGAAGACACUAGAUAUAUAAGGCAACAGAAAUUGUUGGUUUGCUCUGAAAAGGGGGGAACUGGUAUGAAGUAAGUACAAGGCAAAGAUAUUUGUGGGCUAGUGCUACAAAUAUGGAAUGUAGAAAUACUACUACAUAUUCUCUAGUAUGUUUCUCUUACUUCCCUUCAUCCUUAAGGGCCCCUUUGAAACGCAGGAUAGGAAAAACAUAGGAAUAGGAAAAACGUAGGAAUUGAAGUUGUAUGUUUUUCCAAUCCUACAGGAAUUGAAAACACAUGAAAUGGAGAGAAGAGCCCUUUGAUUAUACCACAAGAUACACUCAACAAAGGAAAGUUUCACAAGAGGUCUAACCUCUUGCUUAUUUUCCUAUGGAAUUGAUCAUAGGAAUGCAAUCCUACGGAAGUUUUCCUAUCCUCUUUCUAUGAAUCAAAGGGCUCUAUAGGAAAAAAUCCUUAGGAAAAUGAAUCCUCCAAAAUUCCUUUGCUAAUCCUCCAUUUCAAAGGGGCCCUAAGUGUUGCUAGUAAAAAAUUAAAGCAUCAAACAGUCCAAGCUAUCCAUAGACUAUUACAAGAGGGGCAGAUAUCAAAACAGGCAUAUGCUUGUCAGCUAAUGAGACAAACUAUUAAAUAAAAGUAACAAAUGCACAGAAGUGGUAGUAUAGAUUAUGAACAACUGGCGAGGCGUUGGAACUUGGACUAUGCUACCAUAUGCUACCAUACAGAAGUGGUAGUAUGCUCAGUAGUAGUAAGGAUCUAUAGAUAACUGAAAACCUUGAGCUCAAGUCACAGCAUAGUAGGAGUUGCAUAUCUUGCAACACAAAGACACAUAUAUAGUACAAACUACAAAGCAACAGCUUUAGCCAACUUCUCUCUCCCAUUCUUACCGUGGCCAUUGCUAAGCUUGCAACAUCAACGGAAUUUUAUAGCUAAUGGCUAAUUAACUAAGUAGAGUAAGCACCAGUACAAAUAAACAGUGGCUCUUACUAACACAGAGGAAUCUUAUGCAAAGCGGCAGGCAGGCAGGCAGACAGGCAAGUCACAUCACUCAACCAUAUAAAGGAGUAUUUUCCUCAUCAACCUACCAACUUAAAAAUCUCAUAAGCACCAGUCAAAAUAUUAACACUACUAGUGUAGUACUCCCAACACAAUCAAAGAUAAAAAUAGAUGAAAUGCAGGAAGUUUCAGAGAGUUGAAAUCAGCUUGUUUUAGCAGGAAAGGUCCCACACACACCACUUGACAGUGCAUCUAAUGUGGUGGCCGUGCUCAUAAACCUUAAAAACCUAUAGUAAAACGAGUAGUAACAACAACACAAUAACCCAAAAGACAAAACGGCACAACAAUAACAACACAUGUACUAGCACUAAACAAGAACAAGAAGCAAAUAAACAAGAGAGAUAGGUGAAAGAGGAGGGAGAGCAAGCAAAGCAAAGCAAAAGCAGUGGUGACAUCAGCAAUGGCGAGGUGAGUGAGAGAGUGACCUGCUGCACUGCUGGCAGAAGCGCUGCUCGAGGCCGGCGACGACGACGCGGGGAGCCUUGGAAUGCAUGAAGCACACCUUGUGGCGGCAGUAGUAGUUCUUGAUCCCGCUCAGAUCCGCGCCGCACCCCUCCACCUGGCACCGCGGCGGCGGCGGCGGCGGCGGUGGCGCCGCCGCGGCCACGCCCUUCCCCUUGUUCUUGCCCCCUCCGCCGCGUCCACCACCCGCCGCCUUGGAAGACGAGGACGGCGGCGCGGCGCUCGCGCUGCCACUGCCACUGCCAGUGCCGCCGCCGCCUGCUGCCGCGGCGGCGUCCUCGAAGUAGAUCUUCUUGCCGAACUUGAGACCGUGCAGCUGGCGGUGCUCGUCCCCUCCACCACCACCGCCGCCGCUGCCGCCUACUCCGCCGCCGGCGGCGGCGGCGGCGCCUCCUCCACUGGCCAUCUCCAUUGCUCGCGGUCGCGGGUGGGAAGGAGACUGUAGCGCGCGUGGCUCUUGGCGCGGCCCCCCCUCCUCUUCUCCUCUCUCUCCUCCAGGAGAGGGGGAGAGAGAAGAGAGAGGAAAGAGACGGAAAGGUGGCGAAGCCCAGCGAGCGACACACACACAAGUAGAAGUAGUGCGGUGCCCUCUCUCUCUCUCUCUCUCCGCCCUUAAAAACCACUUAAAAUAAAAAUUAUCCUCACACCCUCACACGCGCGCCGAGAAAAUCGAGUGGAGAUGUCAUUGGUUAUCUUCUUAUAGCAGGGUACAAGGGCAGUAGCAAUGCGUCCUAGCAAAUUGUUAUACCACAGCUGCAACAUAGGUGGUUUGGGAACUCUAAAUGACACUGCACCCACAGUAUAAGUGUGGUUUAGAAAAUUUAUAAUGGGACCCAUAGAUAAUAUAAAAAAUCUCACCCUUCCCCCACCCUCCACCUAAUUCUCUCGUGUCUUCUCCAGGGCGGCCAUGGCAGCGUGCUCCGGCAGGCGCGGCGGAGCUCGGCAGCACCGGCGAACGGCGCGGCAGAGCUCGGCGGUGGGGCAGCCCAAGCGCGGCGCCGCCUCUCCUCCUCCAACCGGGUGGAGCGGCC
RNAcentral lists this long non-coding RNA (3584 nucleotides) under Oryza sativa (Asian cultivated rice). RNAcentral describes it as "long non-coding RNA (OSAT_LNC001549)". Lineage: Eukaryota; Viridiplantae; Streptophyta; Magnoliopsida; Poales; Poaceae. The record is from RNAcentral.